This is a non-coding RNA of Gossypium hirsutum (cotton), 145 nucleotides long. The record is from Rfam. Lineage: Eukaryota; Viridiplantae; Streptophyta; Magnoliopsida; Malvales; Malvaceae.
UAUUAAAAUUUUCAUCCAUUUCUAUUAUUAAAAACAGACGUGGCUGACAGAAUAAUCAAACAGUUAUAUGUGGCAUGCCAAGUGUAUCUCAUUCUUGCAUACAAAUACCAGUUUUUAACAGUAAAAAUGGAUGAAAAUUUUAACA